GCCAGAUAAAUUGAGAAUUGUGUUCGACGCUGCUUCUAGGAGUCAUGGGUAUUGCCUUAAUGAUUUUUUGCUAACAGGACCUGACAUUUACAAUCAACUGUCAUCUGUCCUCAUGAAUUUCCGUGAACACAAAAUUGUUUUUGUCGGUGACAUAAAAGAAAUGUUUCUACAAAUAAAAGUUCAACAGACAGAUCGACCAGCCCAGAGAAUUUUGUGGCGUGAAAAUAGACGGCAAGGUAUACCAGGCAAACCAGAAAUACAAGUUUUAUUUUUUGGAGAUAAAUGCAGUCCAAGUAUUGCACAACAAACAAAAUAGGAAAACAUUAAAUGGACGACUACUUGGGAGGAGCAGAUGACAUUAUCAGUGCCAUACAACUGAUUAAAGAUGUUACAUAUGUACAUCAGCAAGAUCUCUAAGGGAACUUCUGAAAUUGGAAAGGCGACCGACGAAACGUGAAAUACUUAAGAAUACGAUGCCAAUUUUUGAUCCACUCGGAUUUCUUUCCAAUUUGCUCAUAUCGAAUAAAAUACUGUUACAAGCAAUCUGGGAUAGUGGAAUCAACUGGGACGACCCUAUCAUAGAUGACCAUUUUGAUUUGUGGAAAGAGCUAUGUAAUUCGUUUGAUAAAAUAAGUAACUUCAGUGUGCCAAGACUUAUGACAAAACUUCCA
This is a long non-coding RNA of Drosophila obscura, 671 nucleotides long. RefSeq lists it as uncharacterized. The record is from RefSeq and is a predicted model, not a curated record. NCBI's taxonomy places the organism in Eukaryota, Metazoa, Arthropoda, Insecta, Diptera, Drosophilidae. The transcript has 3 exons.